CGAUCUGUAGCGGGUCUGAGAGGAUGAUCCGCCACACUGGAACUGAGACACGGUCCAGACUCCUACGGGAGGCAGCAGUGGGGAAUUUUGGACAAUGGGGGCAACCCUGAUCCAGCCAUGCCGCGUGAGUGAAGAAGGCCUUCGGGUUGUAAAGCUCUUUCGGCCGGGAAGAAAUCGCAUGGGCCAAUACCCUGUGUGGAUGACGGUACCGGAAUAAGAAGCACCGGCUAACUACGUGCCAGCAGCCGCGGUAAUACGUAGGGUGCGAGCGUUAAUCGGAAUUACUGGGCGUAAAGCGUGCGCAGGCGGUUUUGUAAGACAGGCGUGAAAUCCCCGGGCUUAACCUGGGAACUGCGUUUGUGACUGCAAGGCUAGAGUACGGCAGAGGGGGGUGGAAUUCCACGUGUAGCAGUGAAAUGCGUAGAGAUGUGGAGGAACACCAAUGGCGAAGGCAGCCCCCUGGGUCGAUACUGACGCUCAGGCACGAAAGCGUGGGUAGCAAACAGGAUUAGAUACCCUGGUAGUCCACGCCCUAAACUAUGUCAACUAGGUGUUGGGUGGGUAAAACCAUUUAGUACCGUAGCUAACGCGUGAAGUUGACCGCCUGGGGAGUACGGCCGCAAGGUUAAAACUCAAAGGAAUUGACGGGGACCCGCACAAGCGGUGGAUGAUGUGGAUUAAUUCGAUGCAACGCGAAAAACCUUACCUACCCUUGACAUGCCAGGAACUUGCCAGAGAUGGCUUGGUGCCCGAAAGGGAGCCUGGACACAGGUGCUGCAUGGCUGUCGUCAGCUCGUGUCGUGAGAUGUUGGGUUAAGUCCCGCAACGAGCGCAACCCUUGUCGUUAAUUGCCAUCAUUUGGUUGGGCACUUUAACGAGACUGCCGGUGACAAACCGGAGGAAGGUGGGGAUGACGUCAAGUCCUCAUGGCCCUUAUGGGUAGGGCUUCACACGUCAUACAAUGGUCGGUACAAAGGGUUGCCAAGCCGCGAGGCGGAGCCAAUCCCAGAAAGCCGAUCGUAGUCCGGAUUGCAGGCUGCAACUCGCCUGCAUGAAGUCGGAAUCGCUAGUAAUCGUGGAUCAGCAUGUCACGGUGAAUACGUUCCCGGGUCUUGUACACACCGCCCGUCACACCAUGGGAGCGGGUUCCGCCAGAAGUAGGUAGCCUAACCGCAAGGGGGGCGCUUACCACGGCGGGGUUCGUGACUGGGGUGAAGUCGGAACAAGGUA
This 1230-nucleotide ribosomal RNA is filed under the name metagenome. Its description in RNAcentral is "bacterial SSU rRNA". It matches the Rfam family "Bacterial small subunit ribosomal RNA", at positions 277 to 1498 of the family's 1533-position model. The record is from RNAcentral.